UGCUGGUCUGGCACUAUCCUGUGAAAUGUCCUUCUCCUCGUAACUGGAGAAGUGAUUUGGCAAUUUAAUUACUUGAAAGAGGCCUUUUUCAUCACUAAUUGCACCCGAGACCCCUUUGAUUUGGGAACUUGACAGCUAAGGCAGUGGUUAACUGGUUAUAAAUAGUUCGACUGGAAAAUUUUAAACACACAUUUUUCAGUCAAAAGCACUUCCUACACGUAUUAGUAUAAGAUAGGUAGGAAAAUAAGACACGGGGUGAAAAUAGCAGUACCCGUUGAGUUUCAUAUUUGUUUUUCUUUUUUUAUAAAGAAAAAGUAUAGUGUGCUGGUCAAAAACUUAAAUUGAGUCUUUUGGGAUUAGAUUAACCAGUACUUGAGACAAUUACUAAACAUAAUUAUCUUUUAGACUUUAGUGAGGCGCUUCUAAUGGUAAAAAAGAAGGAUCAAUUAAAAGGAGGUCAUAUAGUGUGUGAAGUUUUUGUUGAUAAUUUGCGUACAGUUUGAAGAUGAUGUAGUUAAGUUACUUUACAGCUUUGGGGUUAAAAGGUGAGAACUUUACUACAACGGUAAUGAAACAGUGCACAUUGGAGAUUUGGUAACAUUUGAACAAGUCACCUUGACUGGUCUUUCAAAACCUACAGUACUUGACAGAUAGGAUUGGUUGUUGCGUGCAAUUGCAUGAGUCUCAUCAACCCAAAUUCAUAUUUGGAGGGAUGCAACUGUUUCACUGUUGUGAGUGUCUCACAAACGGAGAACAAUUUUUGUGUAACAGGACGUCACGUUAACAGCAUUUUAAGUCAAUCACAUACUGUCACGUGGAAAGACGAACAUCAACAUUAUGAUAGGGUACCAAAUCAGUUGCCUAUGAGAUUUUUGAGGCUUUUAAGCCUACACAGUGAUCAAACCGUCACACCACCACUAGAAAGAGAGGCUGUAUUGGCGAGAGGCGGUGACUGCUGCUGUUGCGCAAUUUGCAAAUAGAGCAGGAAGGAGAUUUUGGUGGUACACUUUUUCACUAGGGUACUGGUGAUGAAUUUGACGUUUUUGGGAGGGUGAUUUUAUCAGAGAUGAGCAGAAUGUGCUCUGACGAUGACAUCAUGCAUGGGGCAGAGUGGUCCCAUCCCAGCCUUGUGCUUCUUCCUUCUGGAGGGAGGGAGGGAGGAGACAUUGGCGAUUGUGUUGUUACUAUCAAAAUGUAAAAGUGACAUGUCAUCUAUACACAGUGGCUGACUGGGUCAUGACUCAGAUGUAUGCAUGUGUUGUGUAUUUAUACUAUUGCUAUUGCGCAAGGAGACGUGUUCAUCUACGUCGACGACAAUAUCAUCUCAUAUUUGAAUCAACUCUGUGAUCAUACUUCAGUUUGAUUUCUAACUUUUCUGAAGUGAUCAAGAGGGAUUGUUUUCUUAAUUGCAAGAUUAACCUACACCAUCAUCCUCUAAAAUAAGUAAAUAAUUUGAAUUUCAAUUGAUACAUACAUUGGUGUGUUACGGAAUAUAACAACUACAAAUAAUAAAAAUAUUAAGGAGUGGAGUGUUGAAAUGGAGAGAGUAAACAUACGUCUCAUUUACGUUCCUAAGCUUCGACACAAAACUUAUAUGGAAAAUUAUUCUACCAAAAAGGAAACAAUCAAAAUCAAAAUCAUUUUUAUAUUCGGAGUUGUUCUUCAUUAACUUCAAAUUAAGUCCGAAACAUUUAUAGAAAAUAACCCAUUAAAGCUAGAAAAAAAAAAGGAAAAUUGUCUGCAACACGUCAAAGUAUAAUCGGUAAAUAUCAAAGAGGAAUGAUUCGUUCCAUGUAAGGAACAGCCUUAGUAGUCUUGUACUAGUAAUUAGCAGUUAUAAUUAUUGUGUUAGUGAAUGUAACCAAAAGAUUAGAAGUUGGUGCUAAGUUCAAUAAGCAAUAGUCAUGGUCGACAAUUGAGGCUAUAGCCUACUUUGUGGGCAAAGAAAGUUUGGGCUACGUUAGGGGUAAAUGAAUUUUGGGCUUUUCUCCCAAGGAUUGAAAACGCAUCCAAUUUUGGGCUAUAGGCUAAGUUUGUACAUUGUGUUCCAAAAAUUUAUCAGAUGGCUAAUGUAGGGAGAUAUUAAUUUAUUAGAUGAUAGUUUCUUUUUUUCUUUUAUAGUACGUCAAUUAUUGAGACAGAUAUCUAGAAAAAUACACGUAAUAAAGAAAAUUUUAUUAAAAUAACUAUUUAGAAAAAUAUAAUUACCUGUCUAACAGGGAAAAAAAUUAUAGUCUUUUUUUUUAAAAAAAAAACACUCUUAGAGCCGUUUUUAUUUUGAGGAGGAAGCCAUUAUUCUUUCUCCCCUCUUCUCUUCCUCCCUUCACCUCUUUCUUCAUUUUCAGAUACAAAUGGUUUACUCUAUUUGUAUUUGUUUUAUUAUGAUUUUCAUCCAACCUAUACAGGCAGCUGCGAGAGCUUGUGCGGUUUCUUUAUGUUUGGAAUAAGUUACAGAAACUCUUUGAGUUCUCUGUGUAGUUUUCACCUCUCAUUUGUGAGAGUUUUAUUUGUACUGUUAUGACUUGAUUUUUUCAAGCCUUAUAUCUUUUUAAUUAUUCUAAGUUUGCAAUCUUAGUUGGGAUGCCUAUGCCAAAGUUUCUUCCAUCAUACAUGAUCGUUAGGUGAGACGCAUCAAAUUGUCUUAAUUUCGUUAUUACAAUGGCCUUUUUCUGGCUAAUUUGUAUUGAUCUUUUGUGGCCAAAAGCUUUUUUGACUGAAUUAUGAAUGCAAUCAUAUAAUUUUUUAAUAAUAAAUUUGUUAUAUAUAAUUACAACAUAGAAUAUAUAAAAACUUUAUAAAUCCCAUGUAACGCGUUUGAUGAAAAAAAAAACUAAUUAUAAAUGAAAAAUAUAAUUUACAACUAAGUUUAUAAAACUAGUACAAUGAAUACAUAUCUGAUGUUACUUUAGUGCAACGAAUUAAACUAGUACAACAAAUAAAUAUCUGAUGUUAGACCUUGGCGGUGCUCUUCCUUAUCUUCUACCAGGACAAAAUGUGCCAGAAGAUUCAAUGGGUUGUGACGAUGGACGACAUGGACAGUUGAAAGCCCACGUACACAAAUUUUCCUCUCAGACAAGAGACACCUGUCCACUUUAUCGCCACGUGUCAUGACUUGAAAUGAAAAAAUUCCCCUACAAAAAUGGGACACAAUUGUGCUGGCUGCAUCCACAGCACUACACCGGCAUAUAUAUAUAUAUAUAUAUUUAUAUAUAUAUUUAUAUAUAUAGAAAGCGGUAGAAGUUUGAAGAUGCCAAAGAUGAUUAAUGCAUUCAAAACAUUCAGAACCCAAUCAGCAGCUUUGACAUUCUCGACGCCUCUGCCGCCGCCGCCAGGCUUGGGACGGAAAGCUUCCGGGGUCCGAUUCAAACAGACCACAACCCUGCGCUCCAGCGAGUCCGAUAGUGAGCACAACAUGGACAAGCCAGAGCCUAACCCUACUGAGAAAACUAGGUAAGUGGCUUUAUACCAUAUGAUUAAUUAUCCCAUUUUCUUUGCAAGUAAGUUGGAUGUGUAUUUAAUUUAAGUUGGCUAAUGUUAUUUGAAUGUACAAUAUUUAUAUAUUAGGGAUAGGGACAGUUUGUCACAUUCAUUUGGGGAGGGGUAUGCGACGAGGUGCGAUGACGAUGGGUUCGGAGUGGUAUAUGGGGGAAUCCGGUCAGUUCCAAAGACGGAGCAGGAUGACAACCACCCUGCUGUGGACAAGUCACAGGGAAGUGAGGUGCAGGAGAAGGAGAAACCGCGACACCAGACAAAUGCUUCAUCCUAACUAAACUAAUAUAUACGAGAGUCGACUACAUAUAUAUAUAUAUAUAAAUAUAUUUGCAGUGCUUUUAUAUAGUGUUUUCUUAAUUUCUGCUAAUCCGUUUUAUGAAGCGAGGAGGACGACCCAUGUUACUAUUUGUAUUGACUGGCUCUAUAUCUAGCUAUGUAAUGUAAAUGUGAAAAUCUAGAAACGCUUUCAAGUUGGGUAAUAAUUAAUCGAAACAUUUUGAGCAUGUAUAUUGGCGAAUAUUUCUACAUGGUGGUGUAAUCUGAACUUACAAAAAUUGCUCGAAACAUCGGAACAUACAAAAGUUAAUCGAAAUAUUUUGAGCAUGUGUAUUGACGAAUAUUUUUACAUGUUGGGGUAAUCUAAACAUACAAAAAUUACUUGAAACAUUUUGGGCUUCUACUUUUGGCUAUCUUGGUUUUUGGGCCUCUAGUAAAGUGUUGAAUUUAUAUUAGUAGGGGAUGAAGUAGACUGAUUUUAAUAGCAAUGGCUACCACUUGUGGUUGCCAAAUUCCACCACUACGUGUCAUGACAUGAAACUAAAUUUCUCACUGAAAUCAGGAUCAAUCCCCAUUGAACCGGACACAAUUUGGUGAUUUUUUGGCCUCACCUUUCACCGCCAUAUAUUCACUGCCUCAUCCUCGGUUAUGUUGUGUGUUUUCGUGCAUAAAUAGCAACCAGCAGAAAUUCCUACGAGGUACGCAAAACAUGAUUCAUGCAAUAAGAUCACUCAGAACCCAAUCGCCCUCAAACUUGGUCCAAAAAGCUUCCGGGGUCCGAUUUAGGCAGAACGCAACUAUUUCUACUGAUCCAGAUACUAAACAUAACAUGGACAAGACACAAAACCCUAACCAGCAGAAAACUGGGUUAGUCUACACAUUUCUUAUUGUUAUCUCAUAUGUUAAACUUCUCGAUUUUUUGGUUUUUGUACACUACUCGGUGCAUUGUCAAUAUUCAAUCGGUAUUUCCCACAUCACACGAGAAUAUCGACAAUAUAUCAAAUACGGUAUAUAAUCAACUGUUUAUGAUGAUUGAUACGGAUAUUCAAAUGAUAUUUCUCACAUCAAAUGUAUAAAUCAAUUGACUUGUUGUGUAAGUUUGAUUCGUUGAUUCAUAAUAAGGGAUUAGUAUUACUAAUUUGGGUACUACAUUUUGUUUGUUGUAUAUUCAUUAGAGAUGCGAUGUCUCAUUCAUUUGGGGAAGGGUAUGCGACUAGGUCCGAUGAGGAAGGAUUUGGAGGGGUAUUUUCAGGAAACCAGUCUCUACCGAAGACACAGCAGGAUCAGCUGAUCCAUGAAAACCACCCUGCGUAUGACAAGACGCAGGGAAGCGAAGUGAAGGAGAAGGAGAAAGGACGACACCAAACCCAGGCCAAUGCAUCAACAAACUAAUGAAGGUGCCCGCGAGCGGAUUGAUCUGUGUGGAUUCGGUGGCCUUUCUAUAUAAUUCCUUUUCAUUUUGCAAAUUAUUUUUAAUUUAAUUUGUUGGUUAUAUGUUAAUACUUGGAAAGGCUUUAAAGUUCGUAAUAAUUUCAUUCAUUUAUCGAAAUUAUCGUUGGAUUAAAGUUUUCUUUUAAUUGAUCAUUUGCUUCAAUCUGCAUUUGGAUUUUGUAAUAAUUUGCACGUAGAGUUCAUGGUUCCUAAAUUUAAAAAAAGAAAAGAAAUUACUAUUAAAAAAGGAGGCCAGUAUAAUUCGAAGGCAAAAUCCAAACGGAACACAAGCUCAAGACCACCACUACAAUCCUAACCCAAAAGCCUAAUGUAAGAGUAAAAAAAAAAGCUUUUAUGAAGGAUUUUGUUGAUAUCUUUUGGCCCGAAAAAUGAUUAUGUUAGAAUUACGAUAGAGAAUCAAAAGUUCGAUGAACUUCGUAGGUAAGUGAAAUGUAAAUCAUGCAUUAUGAUAGAGAAAUGUCAGAGCCAUAUAAGGAUUAUAAACAAAUUCAAAAUAACCUCAUGCCUAGAAUCCCUCAUUGUAUAUUCGUAAACCUUCUUUUGUGAGUUACCAUGUGAGGAGAACGAUAGAAAGAAGAAGUAUACACUUAAUUAUAUGUAAGUUUUUUUCGAAAGAGAAGGAGGGAUAGUCCUACGUCAAGGUUAACCUAGACUAUAUCCUAAAGUGACUUAUUAUUUUUAGCCUAAAAUAAUACCCCAGCCUUCCCUUGCAAGCCCCAUACACUCAUCCCACAUAAACAAAAUCUCAUUAACUAACUCCACAAGAAGUCUUACCAACAAAAAAAAAGGGAAAAACAAAAUUAACCCACAUGUGACAACACCGUCCCAACCAAAUAAAAUCCUAUUAACAAACCUAUGUUAUUCUUGAAGAGUUAAUUAUAGCAAACUAAGGUAAUCUUCAAUUCUUCAUUUCCUUUUCUUCUCCAAAUGUGUGGAUGUUGAACUUUUGGAGAUUGUUUAGGGUUUAUAAAGUAUCAAUGAGGAAUUUACAAUUAAGAAUUGUGAAUUAUCAAACAAGACGUGUAAUUGAUUUUGGUGUUCUUGCUUGCUUGUAUGAAUUAUCAAUUGAAGAUUUAGUUGAUCUAUAUAUUUACAUCUAUAUAUUAUUCAAUAGGUUAUACUUUAUAGUGUUGAAUCAAUAUCGAAAUGUUAAGAGAUCAUAGACUCUUAGAUAUCAAGAUUUGCAAUUAAUUUGGGUGUUCUUGCUUGCUUGCAUGUUUAUUUAUUGUUUUUUGUUUCCUUACAUGUACUAGAUGCAUUUUGAGGGGGGAGGCUCAUUAUGUUCCCCCUGAAUAUUUUUUUGUUAUCAAUAAAAUUCACUUGUACAGUCAAAUUUUCUAUCAAUUUAGCAUAUUUGUACAUAUAAAAUAAACAUAGCCCACACUAUUUUAAAAUUCUGAAUCCGUUCCCAGAGGAGGAUAUGUGAGAAAGGAAUUCAAAACUAUAUUGAGAAAAUGGAUGGUUUAUUUUAUUUUUCUUUUUCUUCCUCACAUUUUUAUUUUAAAUAUCUUAUGAGGUCAAUACUUACGUAUAGUCAUUGGAGGCACCCCAUCCCUUAGUGAUUAAAUAAUUUUCACUACACACAUGUCCCCUUUCCCCCAUGUGGCACCCCGGUUCAAAAUCAUAGCCGUGCAAUCCUAAGGAAACCCGCUAAUAUAUAAUCCCGAUUUAAAUUAUUCCGGACCGGUAAUAUCGAGCAUGACCCGUUGCAAACGUCGAAUAAUCUAGAAUAAAAGAUAACAAAUUGGCGCGACAGAAAACUAAUUGUAGUAAAAAGCUGGUAAGGUAGUAAAUUCGCGCGAGAGAAACCUAAUUAUAGUAAGAAACCUGAUAAGGACGUGAAUCCGAUUCCCAGACAAAAACGGUAACGUGUUGUAUAAUAAAUUCAAAAAAGGAAAGUGCUUACGAAAAACGCAAAGGUUUACUUUUCUCUGUCUCCAGCGCAUCGGAGACGUGUACAAGUGGACCACCGCCGAAUCCACCAAACCAUGCGAUUUCGUAUUAGCCGUCGAUCUUAAAUAUUAGAAAUCAAUCGCAACCGUACAUCCGCUUUUAUCCUAUUAUAAAAGUACGUUAGGGUGUCUGGUUCUAAAUCAUUCAGCGCCUCAACGUUCUCUUUCUCUCUCCUCACGACUCUAUGAGCCUCCUCGGUUCUUCUUCUCCUGCAGAUCUGCUCUGCAUGGAUCGUUUUCUCUCUCUGGUUCUUUCAAAUUCGCGUAGAUCGCUUUGUUGUCUACGUGUUGAUGGUGGUUUGAUGUUGUGAGGAUGGUUUGAGCUGAUGUUGAAUAGCUGGUUUGACCAGCUCGAGCUUGUACUCUGCGUUCUUCGAUUCAGAUUUACAGGUUCGUAUAUGUUUUUGCUUUGAUUUACGUAUCCAGAUCUGCAAUAAAGCUUCGGUGUUUAUGCCUUCGUUUGAAUUUUAUAGAUCUGUUACAAAUUGAGUUUUUUGUGUUUCUGCUUCGCACAGUUGCUGAUUCAUGUAUUUUCUUUUGUGUUCAAACAGAGAUGGCGACGGAGCUCUUAUGGAAUUUCAAGAGGUUUCAAGCCCAACGGUUCUGAGCUGGAUGCAGAUCUGAUGCUUAUGGCUGCUGAAGCUGGACCAACAGAUGUAAUUGAUAUUCGAUUCGAUGGGCAUAUUUGUAAUUUGAAGAGGGAAGCUGAAGUAUUCGGGGGUUUGGGUGUGGUUGAAUUCCGGAUGUAUAAGAUAUCGGGACGAAAGGCUCGGUGGAAGGGCUGAGUCCUGGACCGAUCUUUGUCAUCCGACCUUUGCCAUGACAGGUGCGCUUGCAUGGCAGGUCAUAAAAAUACCUCAAUAAAAAAACAAACGAUUUUUUGGUUUUGAGGGGAGACAGCAUGGGGGUUUGCCCAGGGUCUCCCCUCUGGUGUGUGUGCGCUCUGUGUCCUCCUUUCUCUUUGUUCUCUGUUUUUUUUGUUGCUCUCUUCUCCAUGCACACCAGUCGAGCACGGAUCGUGGACAUCGACAACAACGAAAUCUCGCGCCUAAAGGUAUUAUCUGCCCAAGUCUAUAUUCUUUUAGUUAAUAUUCAUCAUGGUACCCAGAUCUGCAAAUUUCACACCAAAUUCACACGAACACCUAUCUAAACAUGGUACUUAAAUCUGCAGCUACACGAUUAAUUAGUUUUAUGCGGUUUUAUUUAUCUUAAUUAACAAGGGAUUAAGCUUAUUGGGUUAUAUUAAGCAUAACUGGGGACUUGAUAGGGCUUGGUAAUAAUUUUUGUUUACAGUUUGGUAAUUGUGGAUUUCUUCAAACUACCCCACUGAUUUUGAAGGUAAUCGGGUUCGAGUUUACAUGGCUAUAUCGAUGUAGGAUACUAGUUACAUAGUAUUAACAGCAAACCGAGUAUUUUGAACCAUUAUAACCUCAAAGUAUACACCCGUAUUUUACUAAAUCCAAUACUAAUAUUUUUGGUAAGUUCCGUGUACUGAUAUUCAUUUAUUAUUCUAAAAUACUGUAAAUCAGAAGUAGUGGUAUGCUCGUCCAGAUCCCAAAUCCCUCAUCCUACCAUGCCACUCAUUUAAAAUGCCUUGCGUUACGUAUUUCGUCACAGAUUCCCAACACCUUUGCAACAUUUAUAAUUACUUAUGUUACUGCAGCUAAUUACAUGAGUUGAAAUGAAAUUUUAUGGUGUCUCGUGAGCUAUUUUAAAUAAUUAUUCAUUAUAAUCUGGAUUACAGUUUAUGGUAUGUUAUAUCUUGGGAUCUCAAAAGAUAUGGAUCCCCUGUAAUAUUCUGUAAUUUUAUAUCAUUUGGCUCCUUUUUCGUUGAGCCGUGGAUUGUAUUCCCAGUAGUUUGUUCUUAGGAGUGACUACUGGAAGCUUUCUUCGCUCUGGAGAUUGAACAAGACUUCUACCGGAUUGAAGCAGUGAGGUCGUGGGAAGGUCCAAGUCGUCUGUUGUAUGCACUCUCGUUCUGGAGAUUAUAAGGUGAAAAAUGACUGUACACCUGAAGGUUCAAUUUCUUAUGGCUUUGGAAGUUAUUCGAAGCCUUGAUUAGCAGUGUCCUACAUUUUAUUUCACCUUCAAGUUAUUGAAGUCAUUACUAUCAGCGUUUUCAAUUAUUUGACCUCAUUAUGUAUAUUUCAAUUUCAUGAUUUGUUCUGUUGAAUUUAUGCUAUUAUGAUGAUGUCUUCGGUCGAAUAAUGAAUUACUUCUGUUAAUCUAAAUCAUUGAAUCUCAAUUGUGUUUGUGGAUUGUGCAUAUGGAUGACUUAUUAUUGAGAUGAAAAAUUUAGGAUCAUGCAGAAUGGUGGAUGGGAUUUGAGGACAUGUUUUGGUUUGAAAAUGCAGGAAUGGUUCUUUUGAUUUUAUUAACUUUAUUUUGAGAACUGCAUGUAAUUAUGUGUGUAGGUUAUGUGGGAUCUUCAGUAGUUGUGGUGUAGUAUCCAUCUUCUCAUAUUAGUAGACUCUGGAAUGUUGUUUUAUAUGAAAAAAACACUUUAUUCUUAUAAUUUCAAAUCAGGAGGAGACUGUUCCAUGUUAUAAGUCGAUGUUCAUUUGUGGUUUUUGAAGAAAGGCUCUAUAUUGGGUUCCCUAUUCGAACCAGUAAUUUUAUUCUUCCAAGUGUCUCACCGCGGUUUUUUGUGAAUUGCUGGGUAUUUUUUGAACUUUGUUUCGUAAAAAUUUGUUAAGAGUUGACGAGGAGAAUGAAAACAGAGCUGUUUUAGAUUGGAAAACAUGUUAAACCCGUAAGAAACCCAGUAAACCUAAUUUCCACAAUCUAGUCUCUUGGUGAUGACCUGUGACUCUCGUCGUAAAACGUAAGCCAUAUUGGAACGGUGAGUUUCUGGUUUGGCGAUGUGAUUUUACCCGUUAUAGUGGAAGAUGCAUAGAUGUGGGUAAUUUGAGAUCAAGGUCUGUAAGCUCAAAAAUGGUAGAGCGCUCGGGUCCAUAGUUGGGCUUUGGGAGGAUGGUGGUUCGAAUCCACCCAGAUCUACAAUAACAAUACCAUUUAAUAAUGAACACAUUACUUUUUAUGAUCAAACUAUGACUUGGUGUGCCAUCAUCGUUCAUGUGUUGUUGGUUUUAUGUUUUCAUUACUCUUUAACCUCAUAUAGCUGUCAGGCAACCAAAAAAGCCCAAGGCCGGCAGCAACAGCAAACAACUGGCGGCAAAGUAGAACAAGGACCGAGGCAGGCAGCCGAAGCUGAGAGACAAAACGACACAGCCAAAAGCGAGCCAAGCAAGCAACAGUAGGCACCCAUAAUCUAAUUAUUAUUAACGAUAAAUGUCGGGUCAUUGUCUCCUGACUAAUACAUGAUUAGUGACAUACCUUUCCAUUGAAGGAAUCUUGAGGACUAUGUAGAUAUUUAUUUGUGUUUGAUUUUAAUGUCGCUUGCAUAAAAAAAAAUUUGUUUUACGUUAAAGAAACCUAGUAUGAUUUUGUUCUUCAUUUUAUGUAUCUAAAUCUAAAGGUUGUGACCUAUGAAAUUUGAUGUUAAUGCGUGCAACUAGACCGGGGAUGCCCUAUUUGAAUACUAGUUAUAUGGUUUUAUGUCGGUUACCGAUUUGUUAAAGGAAAAAAGAAUAAGUUGGGCCUAAAACACCAGCCCAAUUCUCGUUUUUCCGGGCCGUAGUCUCUUUAUCUUUUUUCUUAGGUCCGGCCCGGUUAAAAUUAUUCAAGGACUGUAAUUUCGAGCUUGGGCUGUUCCAAAUUCCGAAAUGUCUAGAAGGAAAUAUAGUAAUUGGCGCGAGGGAAACCUAAUUAUAGUUAUGACCCAGCUGUCAAGGCGGCAAAAUUAACGUGUCGUGGUUGAUACGGUCAAAAACAGUAACGUGGAAAAUUAUACCACCGCUCUAACCACCCACCCACCCACGUUAUAACAUUCCAGCCGUCGAUCUUAAAGAUAAGGGCGCAAUCGCAGCCGUCCAUCGCAUUUAUACUAUUAUAAAAGUAGGUUAGGUUUGGUUGGAUCCAAACCAUUCAACGUCUCAACGUUAUCUCUCUCCUCUUUCUCUUCACAUCUCUAUGCGCCUCAAUGGUUCUUCUCCUGCAGAUCUGUUCUGCAAGGAUUGUUUUCUCUUACUUUGUGUCGGAUUCGCGUAGGUCUUAUCGAGAUCUACGUUUUCAUGGUGAUUUGAGGCUGUGAAGAUGUUUUGAGCUGCUGGUUCAUAGCUGGUUUUACCAGCUCGAGCUCGUCUUCUUCGUGCUUUGGCUCAGAUUUACAGGUUCGUCUAUGUUUUUUAUUCUUUUAACUUAUCUAGAUUUCGAAGAAGGCUAUACUGUUUAUGCUUUCGUUUAAAUUGUUAGAUUUGCUAGAAUUCAGCUCAACAGUUUCUGCUUCAUGCAGGUUUUGAUUGAUGAUGAUGGAGUUCAUAGCAAGUCGUCGGAGAUUCCAAGAUUUGACCGUUUUGUGCCAAAUCCGACGUCGUUUCAGCUGCAGAUCUGGUUCUUCUGGAGUCUAGCGUAUGUUUAUUCGAUAUUCGAAUUGAAUAAUUGUAAUUUGAUGAUCGGGAAGGUCAAAGCUGGGGUGUUUAGGGAUGAUUGGGUUGUGCAACGGAUGUAUAAGAUGUCGGGACGAAAGGCUCAGAGGGAGGGUCUGUGUCCUGGACCGAUCUUUGUCAUCCGACCUUUGCCAUGACAGGUGCGCUUGCAUGGCAGGUCACAAAAAUACCUUAAUAAAAAAACAGAAACGAUUUUUUGGUUUGGAGGGGAGAUUGCAUGGGGUUUUGCCCAGGGUCUCUCCCUCUGUUGUGUGGUGUGUGAUCUGUGUCGUCCUCUCUUUACUCUGUUUUAUUUUUCGCUCUCCUGCUCAUCCAAGCAU
This 12000-nucleotide long non-coding RNA is filed under the name Prunus persica (peach). RNAcentral describes it as "long non-coding RNA (PPER_LNC007435)". Lineage: Eukaryota; Viridiplantae; Streptophyta; Magnoliopsida; Rosales; Rosaceae. The record is from RNAcentral.